CUACGGGCGGCUGCAGUGGGGAAUAUUGCACAAUGGGCGAAAGCCUGAUGCAGCGACGCCGCGUGAGCGAAGAAGGUUUUCGGAUCGUAAAGCUCUGUCCUAUGGGAAGAAAAUGACGGUACCAUAGGAGGAAGCCCCGGCUAACUACGUGCCAGCAGCCGCGGUAAUACGUAGGGGGCGAGCGUUGUCCGGAUUUACUGGGCGUAAAGGGUGAGUAGGCGGUAACGUGUGUCAGAUGUGAAAGGCGAGGGCUAAACCCUCGUAAGCAUUUGAAACUGCGUAACUUGAGUGCAGGAGAGGUAAGCGGAAUUCCUAGUGUAGCGGUGAAAUGCGUAGAUAUUAGGAGGAACACCGGUGGCGAAGGCGGCUUACUGGACUGUAACUGACGCUGAGACACGAAAGCGUGGGGAGCAAACAGGAUUAGAUACCCUAGUAGUC
This 438-nucleotide ribosomal RNA is filed under the name uncultured bacterium. RNAcentral describes it as "partial 16S ribosomal RNA". It matches the Rfam family "Bacterial small subunit ribosomal RNA", at positions 339 to 795 of the family's 1533-position model. The record is from RNAcentral.